RNAcentral lists this ribosomal RNA (2490 nucleotides) under Triticum aestivum (bread wheat). RNAcentral's name for it is "partial small subunit ribosomal RNA". Lineage: Eukaryota; Viridiplantae; Streptophyta; Magnoliopsida; Poales; Poaceae. The record is from RNAcentral.
AUGUCCGAUCCCUCUCCUCAGCCAGGGCACUCAUCAGCGCGACCUACCCCCCGCGAUGACUUGGAUCGGCAACUGCUCCCUCCGCGUCCUGCCGCGGUGGCCGGCGCCUACUUAUACCCGUCCGCCGUCCCUCUUGGUACCGCACCUCUCGCAGCGACAAUGGACCUCCUCAGACCGCUCGCGCUCGCCGCCCUGUGCGUCCUGCUCGCCGGCACCGCGGCAGCGGCCACGGAGGUGGAGGCCCAGUCCUCCUACAUCGUGCACGUCGCGGCGGCCCACGCGCCACGGCUGCCGCGCCGCGGCCUGCUGACAACCCGGGCGUACGGCUCCUUCUUGCGCGACCACAUCCCCGUCGAGAUGUCCAGCCCGGCGCCGAGCGUGCUCUACUCCUACGCGCACGCCGCCACGGGCUUCGCGGCGCGGCUCACGGAGCGCCAGGCCGCGCGCCUCGCGUCCUCGGGCUCCGUGCUCGCCGUCGUGCCCGACACGAUGCAGGAGCUGCACACCACGCUGACACCGUCCUUCCUCGGCCUCUCGCCGUCCUCUGGGCUGCUCAAGGCGUCCAACGGCGCCACCGACGUCGUCAUCGGGGUCAUCGACACCGGCGUGUACCCCGAAGGGCGCCCGUCCUUCGCCGCCGACCCGUCGCUGCCGCCCCCACCGAGCAAGUUCCGUGGCAAGUGCGUCUCAGGCCCGUCGUUCAACGGCUCCGCGCUGUGCAACAACAAGCUCGUCGGCGCCAAGUUCUUCCAGCGGGGGCAGGAGGCUCUACGUGGCCGUGUGCUCGGUGCGGACUCCAAGUCGCCGCUAGACACAAACGGCCAUGGCACCCACACCUCCUCCACCGCCGGUGGCUCUGCUGUCGUGGGCGCCGGCUUCUUCGACUAUGCCAGAGGGAAAGCCGUCGGCAUGGCCCCGGGCGCGCGCAUUGCCGUCUAUAAAGCGUGCGGGGAGGAAGGGUGCGCCAGUUCUGACAUCCUAGCCGCGUUUGAUGAGGCCAUCGCGGACAAUGUCGACGUUCUCUCGGUCUCCCUCGGCGCCGUCGGCAUGGCCCCGAACUUCUACAGCGAUAACACCGCCGUGGGCGCGUUCCGCGCCGUCAGCAAGGGCAUCGUCGUCUCCGCCUCCGCGGGAAACUCCGGCCCCGGAGAUUCCACCGCAUGCAACAUAGCGCCAUGGUUCUUGACGGUCGGCGCAUCCACACUUAACCGCCAAUUCCCGGGCGACGUCGUUCUCGGUAACGGCGAGACUUUCACGGGCACUACACUUUACGCCGGCGAGCCGCUCGCCCCGACCAAGAUACCACUGGUCUACGGAGGGGACGUCGGCUCGAAGGUGUGCGAAGAGGGGAAGUUGAACGCCACCAAGGUCGCUGGGAAGAUUGUUUUGUGUGAAUCGGGUGUAAAUGCCCGAGCAGCGAAACCAUAUGCCGUCAAGCUCGCCGGUGGCGCCGGAGCGAUCCUCGCGAGCACAAAAGCAUUCGGCGAGCAGUCCAUCACCAGCCCCCAUGUGCACCCCGCCACGGCUGUGUCAUUUGUCGACGCCGAGAAGAUCAAGAAGUACAUACGAACGCAAACUUCCCCUACCGCGACAAUCGUCUUCCGCGGCACCGUGGUCGGCUCGACGCCUCCUUCCCCUAGAAUGGCGUCAUUCUCGAGCCGCGGGCCGAACUUCCGCGCGCCGGAGAUCUUCAAGCCGGACGUGACCGCGCCCGGCGUGGACAUCCUCGCCGGUUGGACAGGCGCCAACUCGCCCACGGAGCUCGAGAGCGACACGAGGCGCGUGAAGUACAACAUCAUAUCGGGCACGUCCAUGUCAUGCCCGCACGUGAGCGGCAUCGCCGCGCUGCUCCGGCAGGCGAGGCCAGAGUGGAGCCCCGCGGCGAUCAAGUCCGCGCUUAUGACCACCGCGUACAACGUGGACAGCUCCGGCGACGUCAUCGGUGACAUGUCCACCAGCGACGCGUCCACGCCGUUCGCGCGAGGGGCCGGACACAUCGAUCCCAACAGCGCCGUGGACCCAGGCCUCGUCUACGAUGCCGGCACGGAGGACUACAUCAACUUCCUGUGCGCUCUGGGCUACACCGCCAAGCAGGUCGCCGUAUUCGGCUCGUCCAUCAGUUGUUCGAAGCGCGCGGGCGCCACGGUGGGCGACCACAACUAUCCGGCCUUCUCGGUGGUGUUCACCUCGAAUAAAGCGGCGGUCGUCACGCAGCGCCGCGUCGUGCGCAGCGUCGGCAGCGACGCCGCGGCUGCGUACACGGCCAAGGUCACCGCCCCGGACGGCGUUCGCGUCACGGUGAGCCCCGAGACGCUGCAGUUCAGCCCGACGGAGAAAACACAGGAGUACGUGGCCACCUUUGUGCAACGAACCACCGGUAGCGUCACGGAGAAAUACACGUUCGGGUCGAUUGAGUGGAGCGACGGCGAGCACUCGGUGACGAGCCCCAUCGCCAUCACCUGGCCGACGAGCAAGGUUGCAGAGAUGUGA